GGGAGUUGAGCAGGGCCCUGAUCCACAGCUGCACCACUGGGGCAGGGCCCCUGGAGCUCCAGGCAUGGAAGAAGGCCAGCAAGCCAGACAGCCCAGCUUCUUGAGGUGGAGGCUGCCGUAGGUCUGGAUACCUAUCAACCCAGAAGAGAACCAUCACUUUCUUCCAGGAAAAACAUACAGAUGAGAACAGAGAAGUGCCUAGGAAAGAGGAGGGAGAGACCCACGGGGCACAGGGGCUCUGAGGGUAAGUGAGGGCUGCCCCACUAGCUGGGCAGCUCAUGAACUUAGCAGCACCACAGUCAGCUCGAUCGCAGCCUUGGCACCAGGAAUGAUUAAUCUGGGUCCUGGGAGGAAAGGGGACGUUCAGGGGGCUGAGACCCACCUUCUAGACUGAGGUCACCAGUUUCCUCUCCAUACUCAUCAACCCUGCACAUCUAAGCCAAGUGCUUAGCAGCUCAGUCAAAUUAACUGUGGCACUUUCAAAAGCAUCAAAAUAGCGACAAGUCUCCCUAAAAAGAAGGCAGGCGCCUUGUUUUCAAGAUACGAAGUCAUCACCGGGAGAUCAGAAAACAAAUAUUCAUUCUGUGCCGGUACAUUCCCCCACCCUUUCUUCCAUGGUCCCCUCUGCCCCCCCCCCGAAAAAAGGGGGGUUUAAAAAUAUCAGCACCAA
Molecule: long non-coding RNA, 670 nt
Filed under: Mus pahari (shrew mouse)
Lineage: Eukaryota; Metazoa; Chordata; Mammalia; Rodentia; Muridae
Description: BCAS3 microtubule associated cell migration factor, opposite strand 2 (MGP_PahariEiJ_G0002588.1)
Source: RNAcentral